RNAcentral lists this RNase P RNA (361 nucleotides) under Burkholderiales bacterium. RNAcentral describes it as "RNase P RNA component class A". It matches the Rfam family "Bacterial RNase P class A". Rfam says of the family: Ribonuclease P (RNase P) is a ubiquitous endoribonuclease, found in archaea, bacteria and eukarya as well as chloroplasts and mitochondria. The record is from RNAcentral. Lineage: Bacteria; Pseudomonadati; Pseudomonadota; Betaproteobacteria; Burkholderiales.
GAAGCGGGCCAGACCGCCGCCGGUGCAAGGCCCGAAAGGGCGCACUGGAGGAAGGUCCGGACUGCACAGGGCGGCGUAGCAGUUAACGGCUGUCCACCGUGAGGUGAGGAUCAGAGCAACAGAGACGAGCCGAUUCAGUUCGGGUGAAACGGGCAAUCUCUACGCGCAGCAACACCGAAUAGGCACACGCCGGGCGGCGCGGCAGCGACCGUGGCGUCCAGAACCCCGGCCCGGGGCGAGUGUGCGGGUAGGUGGCAUCGAGCCGCGCAGCGAUGCGCGGCCCAGAGGAAUGGCGGUCACGGCCGGUACUUCGCAAGAAGCGCCGGCCGCACAGAAUCCGGCCUAUCGGCCCGCUUCACAC